Molecule: non-coding RNA, 284 nt
Organism: Neolamprologus brichardi
Lineage: Eukaryota; Metazoa; Chordata; Actinopteri; Cichliformes; Cichlidae
Source: RefSeq, a predicted model, not a curated record
GCUUCCAUCCACACCAGUCGGACAGGUUGCGGUGAAAUCGGUGCUGCUUCAGAAAGCAGCUGGGCCAGUGGAGGCUGAGCAAGCUGUCAGAACCAGCACUGAAAUGCAAAUCCCUGUGGUAGACUCCUACGAGUCACAGAUUUUGCUGGGGUUUGUCCUGCGAUCAGAGCUGCUGACGUUCCUGCGUCGCUGGAAGACAGAGAGUCCGGAGAAACAUCUGGAUGAAGGAUGCUGCAUUUACCAAACCUCCAUCGUGAUAUCACCUCACAACACUGUUCAGGAGG